AUAAUUUACCAUAAUGGAAGGUUUGUCAUUAUAGAUUUAAUUCUGAUUUUUGGUUGAGAAUAAAAUUUUAAAGGAUUAGAACUUUAAGGGCAUUCCUUUAUUUGUUCAUUAAUUUAUAUAUUCAGUAAGCAUAUGAGGUCUUUUACAAUAUUUUUAGGCUCUGAGGUGUGAGUAUAGCAACUGUAUAAAAUGAUGUGCAUUCCAAGAUAGCACUUGACCAAAGACACUCAAAACAGAGGAGCGGGAAAAGCCCAUGCUCUAGUGGGAGGAAUUAAUUGCUAGACAAAGGCAUGGAGUUUCCUGAGAUCACAUAUCCCAGGAGGAGCAUCAUCACUACCCUAGGCUGUAAGUAAAAGAACAAGAAUAUGAGAACAGUGGAUGACGUAACAUUUGGCCCAAUGCCACAUUUGGGAGGAAAGAAACUCUGUAAAAAACAAACAAACCAAAAAAAAA
Molecule: long non-coding RNA, 453 nt
Filed under: Marmota monax (woodchuck)
Lineage: Eukaryota; Metazoa; Chordata; Mammalia; Rodentia; Sciuridae
Source: RNAcentral